This 505-nucleotide ribosomal RNA is filed under the name uncultured bacterium. RNAcentral describes it as "partial 16S ribosomal RNA". It matches the Rfam family "Bacterial small subunit ribosomal RNA", at positions 28 to 507 of the family's 1533-position model. The record is from RNAcentral.
GACGAACGCUGGCGGCGUGCCUAAUACAUGCAAGUAGAACGCACAGUUUAUACCGUAGCUUGCUACACCAUAAACUGUGAGUUGCGAAAGGGUGAGUAACGCGUAGGUAACCUGCCUGGUAGCGGGGGAUAACUAUUGGAAACGAUAGCUAAUACCGCAUAAUAUUGAUUAUUGCAUGGUAAUUGAUUGAAAGAUGCUAUUGCAUCACUACCAGAUGGACCUGCGUUGUAUUAGCUAGUAGGUGAGGUAACGGCUCACCUAGGCGACGAUACAUAGCCGACCUGAGAGGGUGAUCGGCCACACUGGGACUGAGACACGGCCCAGACUCCUACGGGAGGCAGCAGUAGGGAAUCUUCGGCAAUGGACGAAAGUCUGACCGCGCAACGCCGCGUGAGUGAAGAAGGACUUCGGAUCGUAAAGCUCUGUUGUAAGAGAAGAACGGGUGUGAGAGUGGAAAGUUCACACUGUGACGGUAUCUUAUCAGAAAGGGACGGCUAACUACGUG